Molecule: ribosomal RNA, 750 nt
Filed under: uncultured Veillonellaceae bacterium
Lineage: Bacteria; Bacillati; Bacillota; Negativicutes; Veillonellales; Veillonellaceae
Description: bacterial SSU rRNA
Rfam family: Bacterial small subunit ribosomal RNA
Source: RNAcentral
UCAGCAGCCGCGGUAAUACGUAGGUGGCAAGCGUUGUCCGGAAUUAUUGGGCGUAAAGCGCGCGCAGGCGGGAUAUUAAGUCUGUUUUAAAAGUUCGGGGCUCAACCCCGUGAUGGAAUGGAAACUAAUAUUCUUGAGUGCAGGAGAGGAAAGUGGAAUUCCCAGUGUAGCGGUGAAAUGCGUAGAUAUUGGGAGGAACACCAGUGGCGAAGGCGACUUUCUGGAUUGUGUCUGACGCAGAGGCGCGAAAGCCAGGGGAGUGAACGGGAUUAGAUACCCCGGUAAUCCUGGCCGUAAACGAUGGGUACUAGGUGUAGGAGGUAUCGACCCCUUCUGUGCCGGAGUUAACGCAAUAAGUACCCCGCCUGGGGAGUACGGCCGCAAGGUUGAAACUCAAAGGAAUUGACGGGGGCCCGCACAAGCGGUGGAGUAUGUGGUUUAAUUCGACGCAACGCGAAGAACCUUACCAGGACUUGACAUCGAUUGAAAUACCUAGAGAUAGGUACCUUCCCUUCGGGGAACAAGAAGACAGGUGGUGCAUGGCUGUCGUCAGCUCGUGUCGUGAGAUGUUGGGUUAAGUCCCGCAACGAGCGCAACCCUUAUCCUAUGUUGCCAGCGAGUAAAGUCGGGAACUCAUGGGAGACUGCCGCAGACAAUGCGGAGGAAGGCGGGGAUGACGUCAAGUCAUCAUGCCCCUUAUGUCCUGNGCUACACACGUACUACAAUGGGCUUAAAUAGAGGGAAGCGAAG